Molecule: non-coding RNA, 171 nt
Filed under: Coprobacter fastidiosus
Lineage: Bacteria; Pseudomonadati; Bacteroidota; Bacteroidia; Bacteroidales; Barnesiellaceae
Source: RNAcentral
UGCUCAGGUGAUUAAAAGGGAAUCAGGUGCAAGUCCUGAACAGUCCCGCUGCUGUAAUUCUCGUUGAUUCCGGACAUUCAUGUCACUGGGAAAAUCGAAAGGCUCGUUUCGAUUAUGCUGGGAAGACGUCCGAAAGAGGAGAGAUAAGUCAGAAGACCUGCCGUACAUUUU